CGACAAAUGACUGUCGCAAAAGUUGCACAUUACAUUUAGUUGAUGUGGUUUGUACAGUAUCAGCUGCUUCUGACAUUAUCUAGUGACAACACAAACAUCUGAGUAAUGUUAUCUAACUGUUCGUUAACGUGUUGUCGAUGUGCUUCGCUUUAGAAUGGCCUCAAUCACUUAGAAUCAGUUCCCGCAUAUAGUUUAUGAGAUUAUCUCUUGUUUGCUGAACUAUAAGACACUCUCCAGCACAGGUAAACUAGUUAGCUAGCUAAAUUGGGCAUAAUUUAUGUCACUAGGAGAGUGCCUUUGGGCUUUAAUGAAAACUGAAGAUCCAGGAGAAGAGUUGUGAGGAGACAUCAACAGGUUGUGCGAGGAUGGACUUGGUCAAAACGGUCCUGGUGACUGGAGGGGCAGGUUUCAUUGGGUCCCAUUUUGUCUGCUCCCUAGUCAACAGGCACCCAGAUUGGCGUAUCAUCAACUUUGACAAUCUGGACUACUGUUCUAAUCUCAGGAACCUGGAGUCUGUAGAGGAGAAUGAGAACUACACCUUUAUCAGGGGGGAUAUAUGCAAUCCAUGCUUGUUAAAACACAUGUUUGCCACAGAAAACAUCGAUAUCGUCUUUCACUUUGCAGCUCAAACACAUGUUGAGACGUCCUUCGUAUGGCCGUCCAGAUACCACAUGGUGAACGUGGAGGGGACAAGGGUGCUACUGAAAGCAGCUUUUGAGGCCAAGGUGGAGAAGUUUAUUUACAUUAGUACAGAUGAGGUGUAUGGAGAGAGUCUGUAUAAGGUCAGUCCACUCAUAUCAUUUUCACUGAUAUCCUGACGUAAAUAUCAUAACUUUUUGUAAGGUGUAUGGAGAGAGUCUGUAUAAGGUCAGUCCACUCAUAUCAUUUUCACUGAUAUCCUGACGUAAAUAUCAUAACUUUUUGUAAGGUGUAUGGAGAGAGUCUGUAUAAGGUCAGUCCACUCAUAUCAUUUUCACUGAUAUCCUGACGUAAAUAUCAUAACUUUUUGUAAGGUGUAUGGAGAGAGUCUGUAUAAGGUCAGUCCACUCAUAUCAUUUUCACUGAUAUCCUGACGUAAAUAUCAUUACUUUUUGUAAGGUGUAUGGAGAGAGUCUGUAUAAGGUCAGUCCACUCAUAUCAUUUUCACUGAUAUCCUGACGUAAAUAUCAUUACUUUUUGUAAGGUGUAUGGAGAGAGUCUGUAUAAGGUCAGUCCACUCAUAUCAUUUUCACUGAUAUCCUGACGUAAAUAUCAUUACUUUUUGUAAGGUGUAUGGAGAGAGUCUGUAUAAGGUCAGUCCACUCAUAUCAUUUUCACUGAUAUCCUGACGUAAAUAUCAUUACUUUUUGUAAGGUGUAUGGAGAGAGUCUGUAUAAGGUCAGUCCACUCAUAUCAUUUUCACUGAUAUCCUGACGUAAAUAUCAUUACUUUUUGUAAGGUGUAUGGAGAGAGUCUGUAUAAGGUCAGUCCACUCAUAUCAUUUUCACUGAUAUCCUGACGUAAAUAUCAUCACUUUUUGUAAGGUGUAUGGAGAGAGUCUGUAUAAGGUCAGUCCACUCAUAUCAUUUUCACUGAUAUCCUGACGUAAAUAUCAUCACUUUUUGUAAGGUGUAUGUAGAGAGUCUGUAUAAGGUCAGUCCACUCAUAUCAUUUUCACUGUUGUCCUGACUUUCUGUAAGGUGUAUGGAGAGAGUCUGUAUAAGGAAUUAGAUGAAACCAGCCCAAGAAGACCCAACAACCCAUACUCUGUGUCUAAAUCAGCUGCUGAGUGUCUUGUAUUGUACUACAGGGAGAGACACAAGUUUCCUGUUAUAAUAACAAGGAGCAAUAAUGUAUAUGGACCCAGACAGUACUUGGAGAAGGUCAUUCCAAAAUUCGUGUCCUUCCUUCAGCUGAACAAAAAAUUUACCAUCCAAGGGACCAGCCCUCAAUCUCGCCACUUCCUGUACGUGGAUGAUGCCAUUGAAGCAUUCCACACCAUCCUGGAGAGGGGGACGGUGGGAGAAACCUACAACAUCGGGACCGACUUCGAAAUAUCCAUCAUUCAACUAGCCAGAGAACUUAUCAAGAUGGUCAGGCAUGUACCUGAUGCAGAACUGGAUGACUGGCUGGAGUUUGUGCCUGACCGGCCAGUGGUUGACCUGAGGUACCCUGUUAACUGUGAGAAGCUGUGGAGGCUGGGCUGGAAGCCUGCAGUGUCAUGGGCAGAGGGUAUCAGAAGGACAGUCAAAUGGUACCAAGAGAAUCCAGACUUCUGGCCAGAAGACCAACCAAUUACCUUUGAGCCCAAUACCAGAGACCAAUAAGCACAUAGAUCCUCUUCCUGUGUUCCUGGAGAGCAACAGGGUGUGCUGGCUUUUGUUCCAGACCUGGUUCAAUUAAUCAGUCUUAAUUAGAGUUGUUGACCUCCACUAGUCAAACCAUCAGCUCAAUCACUGUGGGUGUGCAAGGGAACACUUAUUUUUGUAAAUGUUUUACUAAUGAAGGUGGAAUGGAAUAUAUUUAUCAUAGUCAAUAAAUAACUUUAUAGCGCAGGCUUGAAUGUUGAAUAUUAAACUCCGGAUAUGCAAAGACAAAAUACAAAAGUUGGUUAAGUAUUUGCAAGUCAAAACUUUUAAUUUUGGUAAAAUCAUACAAUAAAUGCACAGGUGUUUUCUCGUGCAGUGCACAGCCUCUAAACUAGUACAUAAAGCAAAUACAAACUAGUGGGCGACUCAGUGGCGUUCAGGGGAGUGUCUGGCCAGCCGAAAGCUCUCCAACCUCUCCUCUCCGCAGCUUCACAUUUCCAUUCAUACGUUUCAUCCAAACCUUUCGUUUUCAGACUCAGUCAGCCAAUGUUACUGUAAGACUCAUUGAU
This is an RNA transcript of Oncorhynchus kisutch (coho salmon), 2857 nucleotides long. It is a transcript of the gene named dTDP-D-glucose 4,6-dehydratase, with no coding region annotated. Lineage: Eukaryota; Metazoa; Chordata; Actinopteri; Salmoniformes; Salmonidae. The record is from RefSeq and is a predicted model, not a curated record. The transcript is spliced from 12 exons.